This 163-nucleotide ribosomal RNA is filed under the name uncultured bacterium. RNAcentral's name for it is "partial 16S rRNA". It matches the Rfam family "Bacterial small subunit ribosomal RNA", at positions 355 to 510 of the family's 1533-position model. The record is from RNAcentral.
UAGGGAAUCUUCCACAAUGGGCGAAAGCCUGAUGGAGCAACGCCGCGUGUGUGAUGAAGGGUUUCGGCUCGUAAAACACUAUUGUAAGAGAAGAAUGACAUUGAGAGUAACUGUUCAAUGUGUGACGGUAUCUUACCAGAAAGGAACGGCUAAAUACGUGCCA